RNAcentral lists this long non-coding RNA (3084 nucleotides) under Macaca mulatta (Rhesus monkey). RNAcentral's name for it is "lncRNA (ENSMMUG00000053237.1)". The record is from RNAcentral. Lineage: Eukaryota; Metazoa; Chordata; Mammalia; Primates; Cercopithecidae.
CGUGAGGUCUGUGGUGGCCUAAAGUGACUGUGGGGUCUUGACCCUCAGGUCUUACAAGAGUCAGAUAUACUGCGAGACCAGCUUCCCAACCAGAAAUAACUUCAGAGAAACGGGGCCAGGCUUCCGGAGUCACAGGACUAAGAGAGACUGAGCCAGCUAUUUCAGGAGGUCUUCAUAGCAACAGGCACAAAAACGGAAGACUGAAAAGAGAGAGUGUUCUUUCUAGACAUAAAACUCUCAAACCGAAAACCCUGGGGCUAUCUCAGCAUCAACUCUUGGUGAGGCGCUGCUGUUUCUCAGGUUCUCAAGGCAUCUCUUACAAAUGUAGAGAAAGCCCUGGCUAUGCGCCACGUCUCAUUUCCUUGCAGAAACCCCUUCUCUCUGAAAUGCAGUGGAAUGGAUAAGCUGGCGCACAAAGAACGCGAAUGUAAGCGGAAUAGGGUCAGUGCUGACAUCAAGGAACAAAGAAAAGGCCAGAGGGGUUCAGAAGGAGAGCAACUGAUUCUGGAAAGAGACAUCAGAAUGUGGAAGCCUUCCCGGAUGGAAGGGAAUUUCAACUGGACUGGGAACGAUGGAAAGGAUUUUGAAGGCAGAGAUAGAGGAGGAACAUCUCUAACUGAGAAAACAGUUUGAACAGACUUGUACAGGAAAAAAAAUAAAUCGUCUUCCACAUUUGGCAAAAACACUAGGAAUUGAGUUGGUUGGCAGGUAGGAUACAUGAAGGAGUCAGUGGGAGCUGAGGAUAAGAUUAUUUCACAUGAUAUGUACUUUGCCAUUUAUAAACAGAAUUUGGGUUCAAGUCUGUAGUCCCAGCUACCCAGAGGCUGAGGGAAGAGGAUUGCUUGAGCCUAGAAGUUCGAGACCCACCUGGGCAACAGAGCCAGACCCCAUUUCUUAAAGAAAAAGAUCUUGGGUUCAAUAUGUCCUUUUGUUCAACAACCCUGUGAAGUAGGCAGAGGAAAUAGGAUUAUUUCCUGUAAUGGAUCAGGUAACCUGGUUACAGGGCAGUUAAUUCAUCCUAAGUGACACAGGCUGUAAGUGAGAAAACCAGCACCAAAUUUCAUACUAAUUUUACUACAUUAAGUUUCAUCGCUGGAAAUAAAGAAGAAGUUUGCAGGGCCAAGCUAGUUGAAGCUUACCUUGGACAAAGAAUCAAAGUUUGUUGUUUUUUUUCUUUCUUUCUUUUUUUUUCUUAAGAGGUGGGUGGGGGUGUUGACAAGGAGGAAAGGGAGGAACCCACGAACGUAAUUUCAGCAACAGUUCCCUUAACAACGCCUGCAGAUGGAUGAAUUUCCGCACAGUCUGGUUCUCUGUUCCUUUUCUGUUCCUGAAGAGAAACAAUGAGGGAGUGAGGGAUACACAGUGAUGUUUAUCUUUCCAGCUCUGGACUUUCAAAUUCUGGAAUCCCCCAGGGUUGGGGAAGGGCGGGUGUAGUCACUUCCCACCGUUGCAGAGGGAUGGGAGAUGUAGCAACUCCUGUCGGGGCAUGGGGCGGGGUGUGUGAUUUCCUCCCAAAUCGGAAAUUUAUCUCCCGAAUGGGAGGCUGCAGAGAGUCAUCAAGGACUUAUCUCUAGGAGCAGACACCAGAGAGGAGCCCUGCCCAAUCCUUUACCCCAAAGUGGGUGUGCUUAGCUCGAGGAGGGAGAAGAGGGUUGCCAGCUAAGAGUCAGCACCAAAGGCGCCUGCUCUCAUGCAUGUGUCAAUGAAGAAUUCCUGCCAGACUUCCAGUACUGUCCCCGACCCUGGGCAGAAUCCCAGCUGCCCCUCCCAGAACGCUCCAUGCCGCUGGAACUCAGGAGCGCAGCUCAGUUCUGUAAUCGAAAGCAAAGGAGAGUUUUGGUCCUUUCCUUGGAUUGAGUCCAAAAUUCAGGGAUGAACAGCUCAGCUCCUAGAAAUUACGCUCUGGAAUUUCCAAAAGCUCAACAAAUAGCCCCAACAUGCAGGGUUGUUUGUUGAGAUGAAGCAUCCUUUUACUACCCUUAGAACAUUACAACAGGAAGGAAGUCCCAUCCCUUUUUUAUAGAUGAGGAAACUGCAGGUUAGAGAGACUAAAUAUAUAUUAAAUCAAGCAUAUUAAUUAUAGUAUUUAAAUUUUCUAAGUCCUUAUUUUAUUUUAAAUCUGACUUAUUAGACCUAAAGGUAGGUAAAUCUUCCUCUCCUACUGUCUUCCCCCUCAUGUAUAUUUCCAAAGUUUUUUUUUUAACCUAUAUUUAUACAAGUAAUUAGCUUCCAUUCAUUUGUUUCAUCAUCUAUAAAAUGGAAAUGAUCUUUGCCUCACAGAUGCAUGAAUAUUAAAGUACAUAAGAUAAUACGUGUAAGGCAUUUAAAGCAGUUUGCAAACACUCAAUAAGUGUUAUCACAAGAGAAGAAAAUUUCCACUUAAAACUUCUUCCACUUUCUCUGCCUGUCUGCAUCCCAGGUUUUUGGUAUAGUCUGGGACUUUUGACAAAGUUUAAUGCUCAUUACCACACUGAUGUACUUUUUUUCUCUAAGAAUUAUUUAACAUCUGCAUUAUUUUGAUACUGUAUUCAUAAUACUUAUUUCAUCUUAGUUCUAAGUUUAAAUUAUUUCAGUGCUGAUCAUCUGUCCUAUCAUAAUACAGUCUUCUAUUAUAGACUUAUUUAUUUUGAUGUAUAGAUCAACUGCAUAGUUUUUUUUUUUUUUAGAUGGAGUCUCGCUGUCACCCAGGCUGGAGUGCAGUGCUGCGAUCUCGGCCGACUGCAAGCUCCGCCUCCCAGGUUCACGCCAUUCUCCUGCCUCAGCCUCCCGAGGAGUAGCUGGGACUACAGGCACCUGCCACCAUGCCCAGCUGAUUUUUUGUAUUUUUAGUAGAGACAGGGUUUCACCGUGUUAGCCAGGAUGGUCUCGAUCUCCUGACCUCGUGAUCCACCCACCUUGGCCUCCCAUAGUGCUGGGAUUAUACAGGCAUGAGCCACUGCGCCCGGCCAAUUGCAUAAUAUUUUUAAGAAAAGGUACAGCAGAGGCAUAUUGAGACCUUACAGAUACCUUAAAGUGUCUUUCUGUUGCUUUAAAUAAUGAAAAAUAGAUGACUUCUUGGGUUUUGAAGUCUUGCUUUCCAAACUU